UACGGAGGGGGCUAGCGUUAUCCGGAAUUACUGGGCGUAAAGGGUGCGUAGGUGGUUUCUUAAGUCAGAGGUGAAAGGCUACGGCUCAACCGUAGUAAGCCUUUGAAACUGGGAAACUUGAGUGCAGGAGAGGAGAGUGGAAUUCCUAGUGUAGCGGUGAAAUGCGUAGAUAUUAGGAGGAACACCAGUUGCGAAGGCGGCUCUCUGGACUGUAACUGACACUGAGGCACGAAAGCGUGGGGAUCAAACAGGAUUAGAUACCCCGGUAGUCCCUGAGCGGGCU
Molecule: ribosomal RNA, 283 nt
Filed under: uncultured prokaryote
Description: partial 16S ribosomal RNA
Rfam family: Bacterial small subunit ribosomal RNA
Source: RNAcentral